GAACCAGUGAGCUGAAACCCAUUGCCAACAAAACAGUAUUUAUCAAGGUGGCAAGGUACGCUAUUUCCCCGAGAGACUGCUUAAGCAGACAGAGUUUAUCAAGAUGUUUUGGUGUGAAGAUUGAGAGACAGAGCUUUUCCCAAAU
RNAcentral lists this long non-coding RNA (145 nucleotides) under Macaca nemestrina (pig-tailed macaque). Its description in RNAcentral is "lncRNA (ENSMNEG00000045615.1)". Lineage: Eukaryota; Metazoa; Chordata; Mammalia; Primates; Cercopithecidae. The record is from RNAcentral.